CUUAACUCUGGGAUAAGCCUGGGAAACUGGGUCUAAUACCGGAUAGGAGCGCCUACCGCAUGGUGGGUGUUGGAAAGAUUUAUCGGUUUUGGAUGGACUCGCGGCCUAUCAGCUUGUUGGUGAGGUAAUGGCUCACCAAGGCGACGACGGGUAGCCGGCCUGAGAGGGUGACCGGCCACACUGGGACUGAGACACGGCCCAGACUCCUACGGGAGGCAGCAGUGGGGAAUAUUGCACAAUGGGCGCAAGCCUGAUGCAGCGACGCCGCGUGAGGGAUGACGGCCUUCGGGUUGUAAACCUCUUUCAGUAGGGAAGAAGCGAAAGUGACGGUACCUGCAGAAGAAGCACCGGCUAACUACGUGCCAGCAGCCGCGGUAAUACGUAGGGUGCGAGCGUUAUCCGGAAUUAUUGGGCGUAAAGAGCUCGUAGGCGGUUUGUCGCGUCUGUCGUGAAAGUCCGGGGCUUAACCCCGGAUCUGCGGUGGGUACGGGCAGACUAGAGUGCAGUAGGGGAGACUGGAAUUCCUGGUGUAGCGGUGGAAUGCGCAGAUAUCAGGAGGAACACCGAUGGCGAAGGCAGGUCUCUGGGCUGUAACUGACGCUGAGGAGCGAAAGCAUGGGGAGCGAACAGGAUUAGAUACCCUGGUAGUCCAUGCCGUAAACGUUGGGCACU
Molecule: ribosomal RNA, 672 nt
Filed under: Micrococcus luteus
Lineage: Bacteria; Bacillati; Actinomycetota; Actinomycetes; Micrococcales; Micrococcaceae
Description: bacterial SSU rRNA
Rfam family: Bacterial small subunit ribosomal RNA
Source: RNAcentral